UACGUAGGGUGCGAGCGUUGUCCGGAAUUAUUGGGCGUAAAGAGCUUGUAGGCGGUUUGUCGCGUCUGCCGUGAAAAUUCGAGGCUCAACCUCGAACUUGCGGUGGGUACGGGCAGACUAGAGUGAUGUAGGGGAGACUGGAAUUCCUGGUGUAGCGGUGAAAUGCGCAGAUAUCAGGAGGAACACCGAUGGCGAAGGCAGGUCUCUGGGCAUUAACUGACGCUGAGGAGCGAAAGCAUGGGGAGCGAACAGG
RNAcentral lists this ribosomal RNA (253 nucleotides) under uncultured bacterium. RNAcentral describes it as "partial 16S ribosomal RNA". It matches the Rfam family "Bacterial small subunit ribosomal RNA", at positions 524 to 776 of the family's 1533-position model. The record is from RNAcentral.